RNAcentral lists this ribosomal RNA (614 nucleotides) under Aspergillus heterocaryoticus. RNAcentral's name for it is "partial 28S ribosomal RNA". It matches the Rfam family "Eukaryotic large subunit ribosomal RNA", at positions 21 to 649 of the family's 3401-position model. The record is from RNAcentral. Lineage: Eukaryota; Fungi; Ascomycota; Eurotiomycetes; Eurotiales; Aspergillaceae.
GAUACCCGCUGAACUUAAGCAUAUCAAUAAGCGGAGGAAAAGAAACCAACCGGGAUUGCCUCAGUAACGGCGAGUGAAGCGGCAAGAGCUCAAAUUUGAAAUCUGGCCCCUCCGGGGUCCGAGUUGUAAUUUGUAGAGGAUGCUUCGGGUGCGGCCCCCGUCUAAGUGCUCUGGAACGGGCCAUCGGAGAGGGUGAGAAUCCCGUCUGGGACGGGGUGUCCGCGUCCAUGUGAAGCUCCUUCGACGAGUCGAGUUGUUUGGGAAUGCAGCUCUAAAUGGGUGGUAAAUUUCAUCUAAAGCUAAAUACUGGCCGGAGACCGAUAGCGCACAAGUAGAGUGAUCGAAAGAUGAAAAGCACUUUGAAAAGAGAGUUAAACAGCACGUGAAAUUGUUGAAAGGGAAGCGCUUGCGACCAGACUCGCUUCCGGGGUUCAGCCGGCUUUCGGGCCGGUGUACUUCCCCGGGGGCGGGCCAGCGUCGGUUUGGGCGGCCGGUCAAAGGCCCCUGGAAUGUAACGCCUCUCGGGGCGCCUUAUAGCCAGGGGUGUCAUGCGGCCAGCCUGGACCGAGGAACGCGCUUCGGCACGGACGCUGGCAUAAUGGUCGUAAACGACC